Micropterus dolomieu (smallmouth bass) is the source of this 392-nucleotide long non-coding RNA. RefSeq lists it as uncharacterized. NCBI's taxonomy places the organism in Eukaryota, Metazoa, Chordata, Actinopteri, Centrarchiformes, Centrarchidae. The transcript is spliced from 3 exons. The record is from RefSeq and is a predicted model, not a curated record.
UAUAAAAAUGCCCAGAAUUCAGCUCUGUACUAGUAACACAGCUAAGAAACAGUUAACCAUUUUGACAAAUACGCUUAUUAGCUUUCAUGGUGAGAGUAAGAUGAGAAGAUCGAUACCACUCUCAUGUCUACGCAGUAAAUAUGAAGCCACAGCCAGGAGAUGGUUAGCUUAGCUUAGCACAAAUACUGGAAACCAGGGUGAAAAGCUUGCCUGCUUCUGCCAAAAGAAGCGUGUUGGAGACCUUUAGGAUUCCAAAGAUAAACUGGAAAAGUCAACCAGCAGGGCCGAGAGGGCAGAGUGUGAAUACAUUAAGCACUUGGGUGUGGACAAAACAACGGUACCGAGACCCAGCUGAAGAUGUGGUUCUCGGUCUGGUUCCAAACAAAAUCUGG